Molecule: ribosomal RNA, 335 nt
Filed under: Salmonella enterica
Lineage: Bacteria; Pseudomonadati; Pseudomonadota; Gammaproteobacteria; Enterobacterales; Enterobacteriaceae
Also listed under: 1 other name
Description: partial 23S ribosomal RNA
Rfam family: Bacterial large subunit ribosomal RNA
Source: RNAcentral
CGGGGGUAGAGCACUGUUUCGGCUAGGGGGCCAUCCCGGCUUACCAACCCGAUGCAAACUGCGAAUACCGGAGAAUGUUAUCACGGGAGACACACGGCGGGUGCUAACGUCCGUCGUGAAGAGGGAAACAACCCAGACCGCCAGCUAAGGUCCCAAAGUCAUGGUUAAGUGGGAAACGAUGUGGGAAGGCCCAGACAGCCAGGAUGUUGGCUUAGAAGCAGCCAUCAUUUAAAGAAAGCGUAAUAGCUCACUGGUCGAGUCGGCCUGCGCGGAAGAUGUAACGGGGCUAAACCAUGCACCGAAGCUGCGGCAGCGACACUGUGUGUUGUUGGGUA